Molecule: non-coding RNA, 146 nt
Organism: Gossypium raimondii (Peruvian cotton)
Lineage: Eukaryota; Viridiplantae; Streptophyta; Magnoliopsida; Malvales; Malvaceae
Source: Rfam
UUUUUUAAAUUUCAUCCAUAUAUGUUGUUAGAAAUUGGUAUGGCUAACGGAAUAACUAAAAAAUGACACGUGACAUGCCACAUGUACCUUUAUGUUGAUGUAUAUGGACUAGUUCUUAAUAGUAGAAAUGAAUAAAAUUUUUAAUA